This 107-nucleotide small nucleolar RNA is filed under the name Sorghum bicolor (sorghum). Its description in RNAcentral is "Plant small nucleolar RNA R71". It matches the Rfam family "Plant small nucleolar RNA R71". From Rfam's summary of the family: R71 is a member of the C/D box family of snoRNAs containing the C (UGAUGA) and D (CUGA) box motifs. Multiple nearly identical copies of this snoRNA have been identified in Arabidopsis, and it is thought to function as a 2'-O-ribose methylation guide for 18S ribosomal RNA. The record is from Rfam by way of RNAcentral. Lineage: Eukaryota; Viridiplantae; Streptophyta; Magnoliopsida; Poales; Poaceae.
AUCCCAUGAUCAGGACAGGCGCAAAUGUACUCCUGGAGAUGUUCCCAUGCUUUGGGAAUUGUCUCAUCAGCUUGCUAUUGGAAGCUAAAAAUCUUUCCACAAAGGGC